UAUGUGAUCGUCUCUCGCAUAUCAAUAAGCGGAGGAAAAGAAACUAACAAGGAUUCCCCUAGUAACGGCGAGGUGAGGCGGGAAGAGCUCAAAUUUGAAAUCUUAAAGGGUUUCCCUUUACGAAUUGUAGUUUAAAGAAGUGUUUUCUGUUGAGGUUUUGGUAAAAGUUCUUUGGAAUAGGACAUCAUAGAGGGUGAGAAUCCCGUAUUUGACCUUUACUUUCAACUUUGUGAUACACUUUCAAAGAGUCGGAUUGUUUGGGAAUGCAGUCCAAAAUGGGUGGUAAAUUUCAUCUAAAGCUAAAUAUUGGCGAGAGACCGAUAGCGAACAAGUACCGUGAGGGAAAGAUGAAAAGAACUUUGAAAAGAGAGUUAAACAGUACGUGAAAUUGUCAAAAGGGAAGCGUUUGACACCAGUGUUGUUUUUCUGAAAAUCAAUUAAAGAACUGUUUAUGCUAAGCUGUUUAGACUUUAUCAGCUAUCUGUUUAGUUUUAGGCUUUUCUUUAAUGCACUUUUCAGUUAACAAGUCAACAUCAAUUUCUUUUGCUGUAAAAAAGCUUGAGGAAGGUGGCUUGAGAUUCGUCUUAAGUGUUUAUAGCCUCUUGCCUAUGCAGUCGGAGAGAUUGAGGUCUGCAGCGUAGAUCCUUCGGGGCUAAAUGCAUUUGUGCUAAGUUAUAGCAUUUUAUAGACAACUUGUUGACUAUGAUUUGUCUUGUAGCUUACUCGCUUAUGUUAUUUUACCUACGCUUAGGAUGUUGAUCUACAGAGCGAGAGU
This 775-nucleotide ribosomal RNA is filed under the name uncultured Neocallimastigales. RNAcentral's name for it is "partial large subunit ribosomal RNA". It matches the Rfam family "Eukaryotic large subunit ribosomal RNA", at positions 24 to 635 of the family's 3401-position model. Lineage: Eukaryota; Fungi; Neocallimastigomycota; Neocallimastigomycetes; Neocallimastigales. The record is from RNAcentral.